RNAcentral lists this ribosomal RNA (915 nucleotides) under uncultured archaeon. Its description in RNAcentral is "bacterial SSU rRNA". It matches the Rfam family "Archaeal small subunit ribosomal RNA", at positions 1 to 922 of the family's 1478-position model. The record is from RNAcentral.
UUCCGGUUGAUCCUGCCGGAGGCCACUGCUAUUGGGAUCCGACUAAGCCAUGCGAGUCGAGAGGGUUCGGCCCUCGGCAGACUGCUCAGUAACACGUGGAUAACCUACCCUUAGGUGGAAGAUAAUCUCGGGAAACUGAGAAUAAUACUCCAUAGAUCUAGGAUGCUGGAAUGCAUCUAGAUUGAAAGCUCCGGCGCCUAAGGAUGGGUCCGCGGACUAUCAGGUUGUAGUCAGGGUAAAGACCUGACUAGCCUACGACGGAUAUGGGUUGUGAGAGCAAUAGCCCAGAGACGAUAUCUGAGACACGAUAUCGGGCCCUACGGGGCGCAGCAGGCGCGAAAUCUUCACAAUGUGCGAAAGCACGAUGAGGGGAUCCCAAGUGCUGGCACGUAAGUGUCAGCUGUUUCUUAGUCUAAAAAACUGAGAGAGUAAGAGCUGGGUAAGACGGGUGCCAGCCGCCGCGGUAAUACCUGCAGCUCAAGUGGUGGCCGCUAUUAUUGGGCCUAAAACGUCCGUAGCCUGUUUAGUAAAUGCUUGGGUAAAUUGUGUAGCUUAACUAUACGAAUACCGGGUAGACUGCUAAACUUGGGACCGGGAGAGGCUAGAGGUACUCCUAGGGUAGAGGUGAAAUUCUGUAAUCCUAGGGGGACCACCAGUGGCGAAGGCGUCUAGCUAGAACGGGUCUGACGGUGAGGGACGAAGCCCUGGGGCGCAAACCGGAUUAGAUACCCGGGUAGUCCAGGGUGUAAACGCUGCUUGCUUGAUGUUAGUUGGGCUCCGAGCCCAACUAGUGUCGGAGAGAAGUUGUUAAGCAAGCUGCCUGGGAAGUACGGUCGCAAGACUGAAACUUAAAGGAAUUGGCGGGGGAGCACAGCAACGGGUGGAGCGUGCGGUUUAAUUGGACUCAACGCCGGU